CCUACGGGAGGCAGCAGUGAGGAAUAUUGGUCAAUGGCCGUAAGGCUGAACCAGCCAAGUCGCGUGAGGGAUUAAGGCCCUGCGGGUCGUAAACCUCUUUUGCCGGGGAGCAGAGGUCCGGACGUGUCCGGGCCGGGAGAGUACCCGGAGAAAAAGCAGCGGCUAACGCCGUGACAGCAGCCGCGGUAAUACGGAGGAUGCGAGUGUUAUCCGGAUUUAUUGGGUUUAAAGGGUGCGUAGGCGGCCUUUUAAGUCAGCGGUGAAAGUCUGUGGCUCAACCAUAGAAUUGCCGUUGAAACUGGGAGGCUUGAGUAUGUUUGAGGCAGGCGGAAUGCGUGGUGUAGCGGUGAAAUGCUUAGAUAUCACGCAGAACCCCGAUUGCGAAGGCAGCCUGCCAAGCCAUGACUGACGCUGAUGAACGAAAGCGUGGGGAUCAAACAGGAUUAGAUACCCUUAGUC
This 459-nucleotide ribosomal RNA is filed under the name uncultured bacterium. RNAcentral's name for it is "partial 16S ribosomal RNA". It matches the Rfam family "Bacterial small subunit ribosomal RNA", at positions 338 to 795 of the family's 1533-position model. The record is from RNAcentral.